RNAcentral lists this ribosomal RNA (432 nucleotides) under Arhopala eumolphus. Its description in RNAcentral is "partial 12S small subunit ribosomal RNA". The record is from RNAcentral. Lineage: Eukaryota; Metazoa; Arthropoda; Insecta; Lepidoptera; Lycaenidae.
UCACUCUAGAAACACUUUCCAGUACCUCUACUUUGUUACGACUUAUUCCAAUUUAUAAAUGAAAGCGACGGGCAAUAUGUACAUAUUUUAAUUUUUAAUCAUUUUAUUAUAUUAAAUAAAAUUACAUUUAAAUCCACCUUCAUAUUUUUAUUACAAAAAAAAAUCCAUUUAAAUAAAUUUAUUGUAAUCCAUUAUAUUCUUAAUUAUAUUCUACAUCUUGAUCUGAAUUAAUUUCUAUUCUUAAUUUUUAAAUAUUAUUCUUAUUUAAAAAUAUUUUUUUAACAACGAUAUAUAAAAUUUUAAAUUAAGUAAAUUUAAUCGUGGAUUAUCAAUUAUUAAACAGAUUCCUCUAAAUGAACUAAAAUACCGCCAAAUUAUUUAAGUUUCAAUAAAUUAUUAUUUACUAUUUUAGUAUUUAUAAAUUAAAUUUUA